CGGGGUGUAGCUCAGCCUGGUAGAGUACUUGCAUGGGGUGCAAGGGGUCGCAGGUUCGAGUCCUGUCACCCCGACCA
This 77-nucleotide transfer RNA is filed under the name Pseudomonadota bacterium. Its description in RNAcentral is "tRNA-Pro". It matches the Rfam family "tRNA". From Rfam's summary of the family: Transfer RNA (tRNA) molecules are approximately 80 nucleotides in length. Their secondary structure includes four short double-helical elements and three loops (D, anti-codon, and T loops). Further hydrogen bonds mediate the characteristic L-shaped molecular structure. tRNAs have two regions of fundamental functional importance: the anti-codon, which is responsible for specific mRNA codon recognition, and the 3' end, to which the tRNAs corresponding amino acid is attached (by aminoacyl-tRNA synthetases). tRNAs cope with the degeneracy of the genetic code in two manners: having more than one tRNA (with a specific anti-codon) for a particular amino acid; and 'wobble' base-pairing, i.e. permitting non-standard base-pairing at the 3rd anti-codon position. Lineage: Bacteria; Pseudomonadati; Pseudomonadota. The record is from RNAcentral.